Long non-coding RNA from Herpailurus yagouaroundi (jaguarundi), 935 nucleotides. RefSeq lists it as uncharacterized. NCBI's taxonomy places the organism in Eukaryota, Metazoa, Chordata, Mammalia, Carnivora, Felidae. The transcript has 5 exons. The record is from RefSeq and is a predicted model, not a curated record.
CUCUCUAGGGGAGGGGCAGAUUCCUCUGGGUGGUAGACUUGGAUCAGCCCUGUAUCCUUCUGCCUGCUGGAAGCUGUUUGUUGCCAAGGAGCAACUUUUCCCUGGAGCACUUCCCUGUCUAGAUCCCCAAGUCCUGAGCCCAGAGUCUGAGACCUGCCACUUCUGCAGAAAGGAAACCACUUAUUGGUUCUCAUCAGAAGAAAAAAAAAUUCAAAAGAUUCCAUAGUGUCUACCUGAGGUCCAGAAUAGAAGGAACUUGUGCUCACUUCCAGAGAAGAAUAUCAAAUGCUCAUUUAUGUGUUGUUAUUUCUUGAACAAAGGACAUCACGAUCACUUAUGUGGCUACAUACAUCUACAAUCCAUCUGUGGCAAAGGCAUAAAGACUCCAUUUCUCUCAACUUCGGAGCCUGUUCUCAUUCUUUGCUUGCUCUACCACUAAUGCCAAUAACUUGGGUCUCAUCAAACACGCCAAUGAAGACCUCUACACCACUCUGUGAAGGCUGCAUGGAAGGUUGGGGGCCUGAGAGCCCUCUGCAGUGUCCUCAAACCCCUCCUGUCUCUUCUGGUGAAGGUGAUCACCAGGAUGAUGCUCCACAUUGCCUGUGUGGGUCUGGCCUGAGCCCCAUCUGUAAAACAGGAUACAAAUGUCUGUCCCAGCAUUGAUUCCUUAAGGGUCACAGCUUCUCAAAGACACUUCAACUGAUUAAGGCAGGCAGGCGUUCCAAUAGACAUCUGGGAUGUUUGUGAUCUGUCGCUUUCCCCAAUAAAGACCUCUUCAGGAGGUGGCCUCUCUUUCAAGCUUUUCUUGAAUGCGCACCUGAAUCUGGGCAUUUCUGAGGCUGAACUUCAGCCGCUUUACUGUGCUCCUGCAACACUUUACUUGCUCAGAGUGGUGGAGGGUUCAUCAAUGAAUAAGACAGGUCCCUGCCCUCCAA